Molecule: long non-coding RNA, 13199 nt
Filed under: Homo sapiens (human)
Lineage: Eukaryota; Metazoa; Chordata; Mammalia; Primates; Hominidae
Description: small nucleolar RNA host gene 14
Rfam family: Small nucleolar RNA SNORD116 (bases 1-92)
Source: RNAcentral
GGACCAAUGAUGACUUCCAUACAUGCAUUCCUUGGAAAGCUGAACAAAAUGAGUGGGAACUCUGUACUAUCAUCUUAGUUGAACUGAGGUCCACCGGGGGCUAUAGAGGGACAACUGUCAUUUUUUUUGAUGCCCGUUGCAUGAAGCAUUCUUCCAGGCUUAGGAAGGGAUUCCGUUUGGGUGAAGGAGAGUCACAGGGGAGUUGAGGCUAUGUGCACAGGACUUCUGUCUACAAGGCUGGGGUAGCACACAUGCAGUCCGUGGGACUAGGUGAAUGUGCAGGUUGCUCAGGGAGAGUUAACCUGUAGCCUGCCUCUGGGUGGCCAAGAUUGUCCUUGACUCCUGGCUCUGGGUUCCCACAACCCCUGGAGGAAGACAAGUAAUUGUGCUUGGGAAGAGAGAACAAGGCCAUACUUUUGCCUUUCUUUUUUUCAUUCUUAGUUUGAGAACAGUGGAGUUCCAAUCACCUGGCAUAGCUUUCAUGUUGUGUUCCAUGCAUUGUGAGUACAUGCAUAUGGCAGGAACACACAGGUUCCCACUGCAAGCUGAGCCUGAUAGGCAAGGAGUCUCUAGCUUAACCCCAGCCCAGUGUACGUCAAUGGCUUCCUCAUUAAAAUUGCAUGGCCCUGUAGCUUUUGUGAGUGACAUUAUAGGUAUCGAUGUAAGGGUGUUGAGAGGGAUGCUCAAUGUCAGUGCUCUUUAGUGUGCUGAUGCACUACUACAAGGGCACCUGAGCCCUUGUCCAUGCAUUUCUGUGUCCAAAAUCAGGUAAAGCCAGAGUUGGGUAUCAACCAGAUACACUGCAGGGGAUCAGAGGACAUGGCCUUUGUGUACUGCACAUCUGUCAGAUUUUCUCAAGCACACCCGUGUUUCCUCUUCACCUCCCACGUGGAAGUGAUGAAUUGGCCAGGACCAUGUUGGUGAGGGACAAUCAUCAUCUCAUGUUAACCUCAGAGAAGCCAGGAAGCUCCUGGACACACAUGGUGUAGGCUUCCUUGGAGGCUGUUGGAUCUCUCCUGAAUGUAGUGUUGGUGUAAAAGGCAAACCCGUGUCAUGAGGGAUGGUCAUCAUCUUGUGUGAUCCUUGGAGAUGGCAGGAAGCCCUGGACAUACAUGGUGUGGGGGCUCCUCCAGAGGCUGUUGGGAUCCUCCUGGAUGUGGUGUGGGCAUGGAAGGAAGGCCAGUGGAGACAAUGGAUGAUCUUGUUCUUAGCAGAUCACUGGAUGUGGCAGGGAGUCCUAGGACAUGUGUGGUGUGGGCUUCUUCAGGUGCUGGUGGUGUUGGCAUGAGGAAAGGAGGUAUCUUCGAGGGACAAUCUUCUUCUUGUGCGAUCCUUGGAGAUGCCAUGAGGCCCCUGGACACAUGUGGUGUGGGCUCCUUUGGAGGCUGUUGUAUCCCUUCUGAAUGUGGCGUGGGCAUAGAAGGAAGGCCAGUGGCCACGAGGGACAAUCUUGGUCUUGGGAGAUCCUGGAAAUGAUAGGGAGUCCCUUGAUAUGUGUGGCAUGGGCUCCUUCAGGUGCUAGUGGAUUCCUUAGGAUGGUGGUGUUGGCAUGAAAGGCAGGCUUGUAUCAUGAGGAAUGAUUGUCAUCUUGUCUGAUUCUUGGAGAUGGCAGGAAGCCCCUGGAAACACAUGGUGUGGACUCUUUCACAGGCUGUUGAAACCCUCCUGAAUGUGAGGCCAGAGACAGGCAGACAGCAGAUGUAUUGCAGGGAGCUGGAUGACAUGGCCCUUGGAACCUGUGCACAUGCCUGCCUUUCUGAUGCACGUCCAUGUUUUCUCUGCACCUCCCCGGUGGUGUUGGUAUAAAAAGCAGGCUUACAUCAGCAAGGGAUGAUUGUCGUCUCAUGCGAUCCUGGGAGAUGGCAGAAGUCCCGGGACACAUGGAGUGUGGGCUCUUUCGGAGGCUGUUGGAUCCCUCCUGAAUGUGUUGUGGCCAUGGAAGUAAGGCCAGUGGCUACGAGGGACAGUCUUCAUCUUGGGAGAUCCCUAGAGAGGGCAGGGAGCCCCUUGACAUGUGGAAUGUGAUCUCUGUUGGGUGCUGGUGGAUCCCACAGGUGGUCUGGCAUGGAAGAAGGCCAGAGGCUGCGAUGGAUCAUCUUUGUCUUGGGAGAUUCCUGGAGAUGGUGGGGAGCCCCUGGGCACGUGCAGCAUAUGUGGCGUGGGCUUCUUCAGGUGCUGGUGGAUCCCUCAGGAUGCUUUUCAAGGUUUUUCUAUGAGUUCUGUUAAAGAGUCUGAAAAUGGAGCGUAGAAGACAUGCUUCGAUUUCCAGGAUGGUUGUGUUUUCCAGAGAGGCGGAGGUAAACCACUGGCGCAGCCCUGCCUCCCACAGAUAAUUCCGGGUGCAGUGUUUCAUAUCUAGACUUGGACUUCUAUCCUACCAUACUUCUUUGUGUGCAGUUCAUUGUGGAACCAGCACAGAUUUUCAUACGAAAGUUAUUUCUUUUUAACCUCAAAAAGUGACAGAAUGGAGUGUAUCAUGAAAAAGUCUGACAUCAAAACCUCAAAAUGUGAUAUUGAUUGGGUGAGAUAGAAUUCCAUGGAAUUUCAUUGCCAAACCAGUGAAGUGCUAAUUUUGACAUUUGUACCAGCUAACGUAGCUGUGAAGAAACACACCAAUACACUUCUAAGGACAGCAUAGACCAAGAUCUAGGUUUCAUAUGGAUGAAUUUAUUCUUCCCUUUGAGGCAAGACAAGAAGGAAAGAAAGUAUUGGGAAUAAUGCUGCCCUCCCAUCCUCAAGGGCCAGUGGGAACUCUAAUAUUGAUUGGGUGAGAUACAAUUCCAUGGAAUUUUACCACUGAACCAGUGGAGGGCUAAUUUUGUCAUUUGUACCAGUUAACUAACUUGGGAGGAAACAGAACAACACACUCCUGAGAUUGGUUUUCACAGAAUUCCAUGGACUUUAACUGCUGAACCAAUGAUGCACUGAUUUUGUCACUUGUACCAGCUAACGCAUCUGGGAGGCAACAAAACAAUACUCUCCUGAGGUUAAUGUGGACCAAAAACUAGAUUUCAUAUAAAAGAGUUUAUUCCUUCUACUUGAGGUGUGACAUGAAGGAAAGUAAUGGAAAUAAUUCUGCCCUCCCAUUCUCAAGGGCCAGGGGGAAUUCAAAUAUUGAACGGAAGUGAUUUUGGAAUUGCAUGGAAUUCUCACUGCCAUCCCAAAGAAAUGCUGAUCUUGUCACUCUUACCUGUUUCAUUCCCUGGGGGCAGAACAAAAGGACGCACUCCAAAGAUCGGCAUGAACCAAGAACUGGGUUUCAUAUAAAAUAUUUUAUUCUGUCCUCUUGAGAUGUGACAUGAGAAAAGUAUUGAGAAUACUUCUAUCACCUCAUCUUCAAGAAUCCGUAGGAAUUCUCCCAUGGUGGACUUUACGGUUAACCUGAACAGGUCUUGGAAAAAGGACUUUAAACAUUCUCCUGUUCUGUGGAAUAAGUAUACUUUUUUCUGGACAUACACCUUGUCAGUGAGUUCCAUGUGAUACUAGAGUUGCAUAGAUUUUUAACCUUUACGCCAAUGAAGAUCUGAGGCAAACAUUGCCCCUUUUUUAGAAGUUUGCAUUUGUCACUGAUAACUGUAAUAAUUGAUCUUGUUGAAAAGCCUGGGAAAUGAAGAUCUGAUAUGUCACUUUUACCGGCUUCCUCAACUGAAAAAGAAUACAAUGAAACACGCUGAGAAUUUUUGUGCUUUCUCAGUCUUGCUGAUGAUCUUUCUAUGGGCCUGAAGCGUGGAGAGUGCCAGAGAGGCUGAUCCUCAGCAGUGUGGCAGAGGAAAGUUGGGUGCGACUAAGGGGUAUGCGGUGCCCACAUGCCACUGGGUCCUCAGCAGUACCACCUGAUUGGAAGUGAUAUUGGUGGAAGACAACAUUUUGCCGCUUGGAAUUCUCACCUCCACACCAAAGAAGUACUGUUUUUGUCAUUUGCACCAGCUUCUUUCUCCAGGAAAGAUCAAAACGAUGCACUGCAAGGUUAACAUCCAAUUUUUAAUACAUGUAAUUCCCUGGAUUAUUUUUGUUGUGUUAUUAAAUAACUUAGAAUUUUUUUUACAAAGUCUGUUGAACCAAACACUGUAAGGCAUUAAUAACCUGGUGAGUUAUUUGAGGCCUUUUUUCCUCUCCUAGAAUUUUUGCACAAUUUAUAUUUUGAAUAAUAUCAGAGACAUCCUAGUAGAGUAAUGAAUUAGUACAUUUUAUAUGCAGAUACAUAGUGAAGCCUCCUUUCUUAUGCAUAUUUGACAAAUGGACAUGUAUAUUUCUCAUCUUCCCAUAUUUUUACUCCAUUUCCACAGGUCAUGUAGACCAAAAUGUGAAUGUCAUAUGAAAGAGUUUAAACAUUGCCCUUGAAAUAUGACAGAAAGUAUCAGAAAUAAUUAUACCAUUCCAUGCUCACAGGCCAGUGGGAAUUCUCACAGUAAGCAUUUUGUCCAGAGAAUAUUCUUCUUAGGGAACUAUAACAUUCCAAUGAUAAUGGUAGUCAGCCAUGUGGCUGGAUCAUCGUUCCUGUAUCCUGGUCUCUAUGACUUAGUGUGGUGAUGGUGUCAUUGUGUCCAAGUGUGACAGAAUUGUUAGUGUGUAGUGUCUGUCUCCUAUCUCAGGCUCACAGUCCCUUUUAUAAACAUGCCUGGAUUGAUGAUGGCUUCAGUAUCUUUUGGAAAUCUGGACUGAGCAAUAGAAUUGCUUCUCUCAAAUUGAUUUCAAGUCAUAUAAAAGGCCAUGUUACACAUAUAUUGUUAAUCUGAGGGAGGCUGUGAUCAUUUAAGUUGUAUUUUAUAAACACUAGGACCACCAGUAAGAAAACAAUUCAAAAAAUAUUAAAAGAACAACCAAAGAAUUAAAAUAGAAUAACCGAAAAGAUCUGUUUAACACAAAAGAAGGCAGUUAAAGAUGAACAGAGGAACCAAUAAGACAUAUAGAAAACAGAUAGGAAAAUGACAGACAUAAACCCAGCCAUAUGACAAUUAUAUUAAAUUUUUAAGAGAUUAGGAAAUUCCGUUGUUUUUUAAACAUGAGCAACUAUACGCUGUCUACAGAAGAGACACUUUAGAACAAAAGAUACAAAUAGUUGGAAAGUAAAAAGAUGGAAAAAGCUAUAUCCAGCGAAUCCAGAAGAGAGCAGAAGUGGCUAUUCUGACAUCAGAAAAAAGAGACUUUAAGAUAAAGUAUUGCUAGAGAGGAAGAAGGAUAGUAUUUAAUGAUAGAAGGGUUAAUAUGGAAUAUGUAACAAUUACAAUCAUAUCAGCACUAACAACAGUGCCCAAAACUACAUACACUGAAAUUUAACAUGAUUGAGGGGAUCAAUAGGCAAUUCAACAAUAAAAGCUUUUGUUCAUACCCUCUUCUUAAUCAGUGAUAAGUCAAUUAGAUAGAGCAUCAUUGAGGUUACAACAUACUUCAGCAAUGUUGUCAACCAAUUUGACCUGAGAUAGAUAGAUAGACAGUUAGACAGACAGACAGACAGACAGAGAAAACUUCACCCAACAACAGAAAUACAAAUUAUUUUCAAGCAUACCUGGAACAUUCUCCAGGAUAGAGUAUAUGUUAGGCUAUAAAACUGUACUCAAUAAAUUUAAGAUUGAAACCAUGUAGAGUAUGUUGUGUGACCAUAGAGGAAUUAGAAAUCAACACAGAAAUAAAUUUGGAGGUCACAAGAUAUUUGGAAAUUAACACACUUUACAGAGCCCAUUGGUCAAAAAUAUAUAUAUUAAACUAGAAAGGCCGGGGGUGGUUGCUUACACCUGUAAUUCCAGCACUUUGGGAGGCGUAGGUGGGCACAUCACUUGAGGCCAGGAGUUCAAGACCAACCUGGGCAACAUGGCAAAACCCCAUCUCUACAAAAAAAUACAAAAAAUGAGUUGAGCAUGGUGGUGCAUGCCUGUAGUCCCAGCUACUCAGGAGGCUGAGGUAGGGGAAUCACCUGAGCCCAGCAGGUAGAAGCUGCAUUGAACCAAGAUUGCACCACUGCAUACCAGCCUGGGCGACAAAGUGAGACCCUGUCUAAAAAAUAAAAGGAAUCCAGAAAACAUCUUGCAUAGAAUUUGAUACAACUAAAGACAUGCUUAGAGGGAUAUUUAUAGUUUUAAAUAACUGUAUCAGAAAAAAAGGGAAGAUAAAUAAAUGACAUAAGCUUCCACCUUAAGAAACAAGAAAAAGACUAAACUAGAAGAUGAAAUCCAAAGCAAGCAGAAAGAAGUAAACAAUAGGGAUUGGAGCAAAAAUUGAUGACAUAAAAAACCAGACAAAAUACAGAGAAAAAUCCAUGAAACCAAAAGUUGGGUUUGUGCAGAGAUUUGUGAAAUUUACAAUCCUUUAGCUAGACUGACACAGAUCAUUAGAAUUAGGAAUGAUGGAGACAACAUCACUACUGACCCUAUAGAUUGGAUCAGGAAUGUCGCUGUUUGCUGCAUUGUGCUUUCUUGAGGGGAGAGCUAUGAAGGAAAACAAAGUUCUCAUUGCACUUACAACUCAACAACACAGCGUUGACAUUUUGAUUCUCACUGGCUUCAGUGCUCAUCUCUGUGAGGUUUCCAGAAGAUCCCGUAGCAAUAUCACUCAUUCUAAAUUUAUCUUUGGGCUACUCUGGGAACGCUGUCUAUGGGUUAGCCCUGCUCUGCAAGGAGCAGUAAGAAAAUAUAUAUAUAUUUUUUGAGGCUGAGUCUCGCUCUAUCGCCCAGACGGGAGUGCAGUGGCACGAUGUUGGCUCACUGCAACCUCCACCUCCAGGGUUCAAGCGAUUCUCCUGCCUCAGCCUCCCAAGUAGCUGGGAUUACAGGCACGUGCCACCACACACCGCUAAUUUUUGUGUUUUUGUAGAGACAGGGUUUCACCAUGUGGGCCAGGCUGGUCUCAAACUCCCAACCUCAGGUGAUCUGCCCUCCUUGGCCUCCCAAAGUGCAGGGAUUACAGGCAUGAUCCACUGUGCCUGGCAAGUAUGUUUGUAGCCAGUGGGGAAUUAUUUUAACUAGGCAAUAAUUUGAUCUAUUUUGGGAAGCCUCUUGUAAUCAAAUCAUAUAUCAACAUUAAUCACAUGGUGAGUCCUCCAUGGUUUUCAUUCCUAGAGAUUCUAGGAUGUUUGACAUUUCUCUGCUUAGCUUAUAGCAGAAAGGUAUUGGAUAUCAAGAAUGUUUGAACAGUUUCUCCUUUUUGGGAAUGAAGAUGAAAUUGGGCUAGAAUGAGAUGUGUGAUUGAGAGAAUGUCCCUGAGGCCUGAGCAGUGUGUCCUUUUGGGUAUGGGCAUUGGAAGCAUGUAGUGAAUUCUUAUAAUUUUAUGUUGCCUCGGCAUCCAUCUUGAGUAUAAGUUUAACUUUGUUAUACCAGAAGCAAGGCUUACUCACUUUUGCACAGUUUCCAGUUCUACACCUCCUUCUCGUUCCUCAGUGUGAUUGGUCCAGAUAGCUGCCUUAUCCAACUGCCUCCUUUGGACCACUUCAUCAUGGGACAGCUUGAUGCAAUCUACUUGACAAGACCCUGGAACCCCACACCCCUCAUGGAACCAGUGUCCACCUCCCAGUCACAGUGUGACCCCAGGGAACUCUUGCCUGCUUGCUUUAAACCCACCACUUAAAAGUCUCCACAGAAAACCUGUUUGAAUAGUACCCUUGACCCAAUAAGGGCAUUGGCCCCUGGGUGUCUCUCUCUCUCUCUCUCUCUCUCUCUCCCUCUCUCUCCCUCUCUCUCUCUCGCUCCCUGACCUCUGCGUGUGGACUCCAGGCAUGCCAUAUACCCCUCAGGACCUGUAAGUAAUACUAUCUUUAUUUUUAUUUUAUAUCUCUCCUAAUCAUUGAAAAGGUGCUCUCUAUCUUGAAGAUACUAUAUUAAAUAAAAUGAGAACUUGUCCCUAACACAGUUAGUGAUAGGCUGAAACACGCUGAUUGCACUCUUUACCCAUUUAGUGAUUUUUCUCAAGUUACUCUACACCAUGUAUUAUCAACAUAAUUGAUAUUACAGAAUAGAAUUAUAAGACACUUCUUUUGCCACAGAAAGUUCUAUUGGACUCAGAUUAUCUAGAGCUACUACAUGUAUGCUAUUCUAUGAUAAAAGAUGUAGAUGUGAUAAAAACAUUUAUAAAAUAUCUGUCUUAGAAAAGUUAGCUAAAAUUAUUUUGGGAAAAGUAUGUUUGAAAAUAGAAUCGUAAGCUACCACAUUGUGAUAAAUAUUUCUAAAUGUGUCUAUUAACUUGUCAGGAGACAACAGAGUGAAUUAAAACAGUAGCCUUGUAUCAGUAUGUUUUUAUUCAGAAGACAAAUGCACGUUUUAACUAUUAUAUGUUCUUGGCUUAACUUUUUUUGUAAAGUUAAGACAUUACACUUUUACAUGAAUCUGUAAUUUCAAGAUAUCUUAAUGGUUGACAGGGACAGGACAAUUGAAGAAAACCUGUAAAUACAUUUGGUAAAAUUUAUGAUGGAUUGUUUUGCAGAUGGCUUCAGAGGUUAUUAGCACAUCUGUUUGAGAUAUGCACAGUUUUACAUUUGUCCCUUAGGUAAUCAACAGGGCUGAGAUCAGUAAAUCACAUGUAAGCCACUGUUAUGAGGCUAUUCUGAAUAGAGUUACAUCAUUUUAUCAUAUCUAGACUUUCUAGUUAUAUUGGUGCUGUUGAAAAUGAUUUUGUAUUACAUGCUUUCUUCCAAAUCAUAGAUCAAGAUAUUUUAUUUAUGUAUGUCUUUUAAAUGAAGAGUGGUUAGGAUAGUCCUGAUUAUUGCACAUAAAUAUUGCCUUUCACUAGAUUAUUGUUUUGGGCCAAAUUUUAGACUAUUAUUUUAAAAAAGAGUACCUUAGUUUAAUCCAACCUUUCCAGAUACUUAGAAAUUAUUGAAAUGUAUAUUUUGUGAAGAUGGUCUUAUGAAAGUUGUUGAGCUAGAAACAUGUCCUUCACCAGUGGAAUUCUUAGAAGCUUUCCUUGGGCUUCACUGGGUGCUAAUAGACCAUGAUCGUAUUGCUCUGUAUAUAAUGGUACAAAUUUUGUUUUAUAACACUCAGUCUUAAUAGAAUGGGAAUAUUUUAUCUUACUAACGUAGUCAUUAGCUGGCCACUCUCUGUGUCCAUUGGACCUUAUAGGGUAAAGGGAGGGCAGUGCGUAUUUGAAGCCUGUGCACGUGACACACAAAGGGCUUAGCAACCUCCGUGUUUUCCCAGCACAGGAUACCCAUUCUUCCUGAAUGUUUCAUUGUUAAAUUAGAUUGUGUGUGUGUGUGUGUGUGUGUGUGUGUAUUUUAUAUUAACAUACAGAUGUAUGUAUUUUAGUUGCAUUUUUUUUCUUAAAAUGUUAUUUUUUCUCUUUUUCUUUUAUGUCAGGUGAUGAUAGAGCCCCUAGGGAAGCAAAACUGUCCAUGCCCUUGCCUUAACUUUCAGAUACGAUAAAAACAACAUUUAUAAAAUACCUGUCUUAGAAAUAUUAGCUAAAAUUAUGUUGGGGAAAGUAUGUUUGAAAAUAGAAUUGUAAGCUACCACAUUGUGAUAAAUAUUACUAAAUUUGUUUAUUGACUUGUCAGGAAGCAAAAGAAUGAAUUAAAGAAAACUCCAGAGAAUGAGCUGACAACCUACUCCCUGGUCAGUGGCUCUCCAUGCCUACCUGUGGUCUCUUGGACACCCUUGCAGAAGAUGACUUCCUGGGAACUCUUCUGGGAGUGAAUGUUAUCAGCAAAUUCCCAAAACAACACCCCUUAGACAAAAAGCCUCCUCACCUAUGCAUUGCCUAGACCACCCACUAAAGGUGAUGGCCACAAAGAGGUGGAUUUGUUGAGUUGGUGCCAUUCCUUCUACUGCCAGCUUCACCAAAACAAUGACACAGUCUUCCUUCCGCAUGGAGACUCUUCUCUUUCCUGUGUUGCAGUGGAUGCCUCCUGCAGAUAAGAAAUGCUUAACUGAGAAAUGCUCAUGUUGGGAUAUCAUCGAUGAGACUUUAAUUUGGGCAUGGUGACUGUUUCCCUUGCUGCCACUUGACUCAAUCCCAGGAGCCUCAGUAGAGGAUAUAAUAUUACACAAGAUGCUCAAAAUGGUGGAAUUGCUCAGUGCUCCCAUAAAUAUACAUUUAUAAUUUUCAUUUGCCACAUGGUAAACUGAAAAAUACAGACUAUAUUAAAAAGAAACUGCAUGAUUUUUUUUCAAAAAUUCAAAGCAUAUUUAAAUAAUAUAUAAAUUAAAUGCCCUCCUCUCUUCCAAUUCUGUCCCUAUAGUUUUCCUCUAUUAAGUGAACUACAUGCAUUCUUUUAGUGGAUAGAUGCACACAAACACACAAGCCAUUAUGGGGAAGGAUCCACGUGUGUGGCCAUAUUGUAACACAUUUUUCUGCAAAUCACCUCUUUCAUUUAACAGCCCUUAUUCAAUGGCCUUUUUCUUUUUCAGUAGUACAUACACAUCUGUGUCAUUUGUUGAAUGACGACAUGAAUGUUUUGUAGAUAAAAUAUAAUUAAAUGUUUUAAGCAUUUCUCACUCAUAGAUAUUUAUGUUAGCACCAAAUUUCUGUGCAAUGAACCUCCCUAUAUAUCAGUAAUUUUGCAUUUGUCUAUAAUAUCAUAAUAAAUUACUUAUCAGUUGAAUUACUGGGAUUAAGUAUGUGCACACUUUAUAUUUAUAUUUUGAAAAUUAUUGCAAGAUUGCCUUCAAAAAUGUGGUUAACAACUUUAUCUUCAAAUGGCAAUGAAUGAGAUUGCCAGCUUUCCUACAGCCUCACAGACAAUGGAUUUUAUAAAUAUUUAACAUUUUUGCCAAUGUGAUCACCCAAACUAUUGUCUUAAAUUGUAUCUCUUUUGUUUUUGAGUUUGGUCAUUUUUUCAUGUUUAUUAGCCAUCUGUAUUUUUUAAUUUCUUCUUUAUGUCCAAUUUUGUGGGUGGGAGGAGGAUUUAGUCUCUUCCUGAUUUCGAAGAGCUCAUUUACUAUUUCGGGAAAUAAGAUUUGGAUUGUCAACCAUUAUAGCUAUUUUUUACACACUUUUCAACUUUGUUUUUGUUAUAAGAAUGUGUAUGAUUGUUACAUGUCCAAGUAUAACCAUGUUCGCUUUUAUGGCUUCUGAGUUUCAUGUCAUUUUUGGAAAGAUAUAUAUAUUGAGUCCAUAAAACCCUUCACCUAUGUUAAAUUCUAAUUCUUUUGUGUUUUUUUAAUUCAAAUUCUUAAAUCAUGAGAAAUUUUUUUGUUUUGAAAUCUUAAAGUUGCCAAGUUACUUGCCAUUACUUGCGAUUAUUUGCCAAUAAUUGCCCAUUUAUCUGUACCGCCAUCUUGCGCAUAUGCUGUACUCUCAUCUGUGACUGGCUCCAUUUUUGUUCUGUGGAUUUGUGUGUCUCUUCUUCUGCCUCCUGUCUCGUGUCUGCUCGUUGGAAGAAAUUACAGUUUAGACUGCAAUUUCAUCAACUUUAAUAAAUCAAUUGAGGGGAGAAUUGGUUUUUAAAAAUAUUAAGUAAGUCUUCGUAUCCAAGGACAAGGUAUGUCUUUUCUUAUUCAAUAAUUUUAAUUACUGUUAAUAUUUUCACUGUGGUGAUGGGAGUUUUUCUUUUAAUUUAUUUUCUUGUUCAUUUUUUGUAUCUAAAGUUUUUGUUUUGUUUUGUUUUGGGGGUAAGUUGUCACCUUACUGUUUCUUGUUGCUUUUCAGAUUUUUUCAAAGUAUAGACUAAAUCCUUCACAAAUAUUUAAAGUUUUUAUUUUCCCCCUUCAUAUUGAUCCUGAUUUUAGUUAUGUUGACAAAGUCCACAGACUGUUACUAUCAGAACACUUGAACAGUUAUGGAAAUAUUACCUACCCUUGAUUUAAUCAGAGUUUAAUGGUAUGCUUCUUUGGUUUGACUGGCACAUUGUCGCUGGUCAUUUCCUCCCAAAGACCACCAGAAAGAGCUAUGAUCAAGCAAAGCUGAGUUUGUUAAACUUACCUGCAGCAAGGGAAAACACCACCUUGAUAGGGUUUAAUAAUGUUUCAAAAUCAAGAAAUGAGGCUUUGGGGUCUGGGCAGGGAACUAAUUAGAAAUGGGCAAAAUUUGUCAUGCAAUACCUUGUGGGAAAGUGAGAUGAGGUUCUUAAUGUGAGUAUUGAUGGUGAAAUCAUUUUCUAGGUGAGCUGUUUGCCUAUAUAAAGAUGUUAUCAAUGACAGAAGAACUAUUUGCCUAGAUAAACAAACUGAAUUUAUUUAUUGGUUUACAGUUUUAUCUUGCUGGGCAGGACUCUGCUGGGGGUGGUAUCAGGUCUUAUUCCCAAUAGGUAAGUUAUUUGGAUAUGGGUGGUCUUAAUCAUCAAUGUGUAAAAUGCUGAUUUUAAGUGCGAAAUACUUUGUCUACCAUGUUAGGAAAGUCUGCCACCUUUUAUCUUUUUUAAGGAAUUUUAAUCAAAACCAGGUGGUAGAUAUAAUCAAAUUGUUUUGCAGAAUCAAUUUUCCUGUUCUCUUUAAAGACUUUUAUCACUGUGAAUUAAUUUACUAUUAUUGCAACUUCCUUUAAUUCCUUGAAUGAACAGACCCUACUGGUUUUAAAAAUGUUUUAUUCUUUUAAUUUACUACUUAAUUGUGGGUAUUUUAAUUUGAUUUGGAAUUUUUACAAGUAUACAACUAAGUGAAAUUGAUCUGUGAUUUUUCUUUUUUGUGCUAUUUUUGUCAUGUUUUGAUAUCAGAUAUUCUGGUUGUGUUAAAAUAAUUUUGAGGAUUUUCUUCUUAUACUGUGUUCUAGAGUGGGUAAAAAAGCCCUAGUCUCACUAUCAGUGUUUAAGUGAACACAUCAGUGACAUCAUCUGGACUCUCCUUUGUUUUUGCUGGUUUGGAGUUAGGACAUCUAGAAGUUUUUUUCUUUUUUUCCUUUUUUUGUAUGGUUAUUGCUUGUUCUUUGUUUUGUGUCAAAUUUAACCUGUUUUCUCUUAGCAAAUCACAGCUCAUGCAGAUUUUCAAACACAUUAGCCUUGUUAUACAAAGUGUUCUUUCAUCAUUCUAUUAAAUUUCCAUUUUCAUUCCAGUUAUAGUUAUUUCUGCUGUGCCUUUGUUAAUGAAUAAGUUUAAACAGUGGAUGUUUAGCAUCACUAGCCUUCCCCUUCCAUCUCCCUUAAUCAGGACCUUGGUAUAAUUUAUCAGGUAUUUUUUAAGGUUCUAAUUUACUUAUAUAUAUUGUUUCUGUAUUCUUUUGUUUCUUUUCUUAAUAAAUUCUUAAACCUGUGUAACACAUUCAUAUUCACUUGUUCUUGGCAAUGAAAGAUUUACCCUGCUGUGCAUUUUAUAAAACUUGUCAUUAUGAACACAUUGUAA